GCCAGCAGCCAUAUCACCCCGCAACUCACAACUAACAGCCCACUGAAGCUCAGCAGGUGUGAGCCUGGUCAGUACCUGGAUGGGAGACCUCCUGGGAAAAACUAAGGUUGCUGCUGGAA
This is a ribosomal RNA of Lepisosteus oculatus (spotted gar), 119 nucleotides long. Lineage: Eukaryota; Metazoa; Chordata; Actinopteri; Semionotiformes; Lepisosteidae. The record is from Rfam.